UACGUAGGGGGCAAGCGUUGUCCGGAAUCAUUGGGCGUAAAGCGCGUGUAGGCGGCUCGGUAAGUCUGCUGUGAAAGUCCAGGGCUCAACCCUGGGAUGCCGGUGGAUACUGUCGAGCUCGAGUCCGGAAGAGGCGAGUGGAAUUCCUGGUGUAGCGGUGAAAUGCGCAGAUAUCAGGAGGAACACCGAUGGCGAAGGCAGCUCGCUGGGACGUGACUGACGCUGAGGCGCGAAAGCGUGGGGAGCAAACAGG
Molecule: ribosomal RNA, 253 nt
Filed under: uncultured bacterium
Lineage: Bacteria
Description: partial 16S ribosomal RNA
Rfam family: Bacterial small subunit ribosomal RNA
Source: RNAcentral